GUGCCGAAACCAUGCUCUUAGGUGCUGUUUCAAAUUAACGCUUGGAGUAACCAUGUAUUCCUGGUGUACCAGUUACUUAAACUUAAGUCUGCCUGAAUCUUGUAAUAAGACUUUGUGUUGCUGAGUGUUAGGUCAGCAUGGGAUUCCAAAGCCAAGCAGAAUUACUUGACAGAAUGGCCCUUGCAUAGAUUCAUAUCCUGGUUUUGAGCUCUUCUCUGAUUCACACAUUAAACACAAAUAGUUGCAUCCUGUCUUGCCUACUGUAAUCACACAGAAACAUGAGUUUCAAUGCCAGCGGACAUAUAUUUAAAGCUUGCAUUGGAAAUUUAUUUCUGCACUUCACCUGGGAAACAAAAAAAGCCAUAAAGAGAAAUAAAGACCUUUAUAACAUUUGAUGAAGAUUCACAGAAGCCACAAAGGAACAAGUACUGCACAAAAGCUAUAGAGGCAAUGCAAGUUCUCGGCAUGCAAACAAGCUCUGAUGCAAGUCUUCACGGCCAGGAGCUGCUCCUAAAUUCAAUGGAAACCUUCCUGGGCUGGGCUGCUCUGCCAGGGAGAAUUGAGCAGCACUACCAGGGCCUGAAGAGAGUUGAUAGAGAUGCCUGUAUGUUCACGGAUGUCAUAGAUAUCACCCUCCAAGUGAUUCUUUUGUACUAUAUAUUCACCUGUGACUUUCUGCAGAUGACCAGGAAGGACUUCAAAGGCCUUCUAUGAAGAUGACUAUCUGAAAUGCAUCCAUCUAGACUUGGCUUCUUUCUAUUCAUUAUGCCUUCUGCUAGGCAGCUUCACCCCACCAGGUAAACCUCACGUGUCUUCCUUCUGUGUCCUUCCAUCGUUACCAUCACCAGACACUUCCAGGUACACUGUAACAAAUUAGACAGCACCAUAUCCAGGAACAAUUACUCAUAACCAAGGGUUACUCUGGCGAAGCUGCUUUUCCAUUGUCAGCUAUGAAGGUAUUUUCUCAGUGUAUAAAAGUGUCAUACAAGGUCAGGGCCUCGCUGGUGUCUGGGUUUACCAAACCCAAUGUCUUUGAGAGAUUUUGACUGUGCCCAAAAUAGAAGACAAAGGCACUGUGGCAAUUGAUCCAACACCCAUCUGUUCAGAGCCAGUGAUUUGAAACUCCUUGUUCACUUUCUCCCAAAAUUUGAGGAAGGCUGGAAGUGACUUUGUGCUCAUUUCUGUUGAAAACAAGGAAUUGAGGAAUGUGUUGGCACAAGGGAAGGUUUCACAUAUUCACAGUAGCCCUCAGUAAAAUGCAAGUUUUCUGUAAGAUAGUCCUUAUUCUGAUUUAUUAGUUCACAAAUCUAUCUGAAAAGUGAUCAGAAAGUAUAUUGGAAAAGAUAUUAGCUAAGUUACCAGAGUUUUCACUAUUCCAAAGCAUAUUUAAACUCCUCUAUUUCCAACUCAAAAGGCUGUGCUGUGCUGCCCCACCAGGCUUCAGGUGUUGGGUGGAGAUAUUCGUUCAUUAAGGAACAAAAGCAUGGGAAAAGAUUACCUCUGGAUUUCAUUUGGUGUUACGUGGAGAUUUUUGGCUUCUUCCUCUCCCCGGAGGCACAGACCCAGGGAAAACAAUGUCCAGGAAAGGAAAACAAGGAAGAAAGCACAGAGAAUUACUUAGCUAAUGAAGAGGAAUGGCUGACUUGUCCUGCAAGAGGGCAGUUAGCAGGGACACAUCCCCUCUGGGCUCACCCAGUGAAGAACAGACACCAACACAGACCACUAAAAGGUGAGCAUCGGUGGAGUGACGCUGCAGUUUCUCCAGCUGUGUUUUGUGAGCAUAAUCGAGAUUUCUGUAGUGCCAGUGCUCACAAAACAUCAAAUGGCUCUGACUAUCCAUCUGGAACCGAAACCAUUACAUCCUCCCUGUAUGGCUCUUAGGGGCAGCACAGAACUCAGGACGCAGAUUUGUAUGAUAUAGCGAGGAGAACCAAUCAGAAAAAUGAUGUUAGUGCCGCAUCCUGUCUGAUAAAAGAGCCCAGCAAACAUCCAAAGCACCAUGAUGGUACCGCUGUCUGUCCUCCCUCCCUCCCCACUUCCCUGUCCAUCCUUUCCUAUCCUGACAUUUUGAGACAAGGCACCAAAUGAUUCCUUUUCAAAUGUUACUUUUUCUCCCUGAAUUAUUAUGUUUUUACAGUACGGCAAUUUUAUAAUUAAGAUUAAAUACUUUGUGCAAUUGUUUUGGCUUUUUUUUCCCCCUCUCAAACAAAAUGGAACCAAGGUUCAAAUCCAGAAAUGUUGUGAAAGGGGAUUUCUAUUCUCCGUGUAGAUGAAUGUAACUAUGAUCAGAGGAAAUAAAACUUAGAGCAAAAAUGCUCUGGAUACAUUGAGGUAGAUUUUUCACCAUAAAUCAUUUGCAUAAAUAAAGGUAAGUUGAUUGUAAUCACUUCAGUAUUUCCUGUAGCUGAAGUUUUACUCUAUUUGUCUUUAUUUCUGCUGUAGUUUCAUCAGCACAAAAAAAUCAAGGAAGCAGUAAUAAAGAAAAAAACAGCACAAAAAAUACCCACAAAAAAAAAGAGCAACAGUAGAUCCAGCCGCUUAGCAGUGGGUGCUUUAUUUUCUCCAUAAUAUUUUCAGAGUGUUUGGGGGAGUAAUUUCAAACAGUCAAGUCAGAGUCCAUUGAGAAUUGAUUUUUGUGACCUCACAUAGUGUAACAGAAAAUUAUAACAGGAAAUAAACCAUUAAGUGAUAAACAAGGAAACAUGGAUACAAUUACUUUCAGAACAUAAUUUUAUUCACUCUAGUUUUGAAAAUGAAGAGAUAGUACUGACUGGAACACCUCAAUUCUGAAUGCAAACUGUACAAUCUAUUAUAUUAAACAAAGUCAAAAGCAAUGUGAAAGAUCUUGAAUCUAUUCAAGGCAUGCACCUCAUUACAGACUUAGCAAAUUAAAACACAAAUAGGAUUAGAAAAGAAUAAUGUAACAAUCUCCCACCAUGGUCCCUGGAGCAUUAAGUCAUAAAUUGGGUUUGCAUUAAAUUGUGCCUGCAGUAUUGAAUUCAGGGAAAGAGCUAUAGGCUGAAGAUAAACCUCGCUAGGCUGGCCAACUUUGGUAUGGCUGUGUGAUUUCAUAAAAACACAAUGAAUCUGUUGGAAUCUAAAAAGGCACAUUCAACAACAUGUAUUUCAUAUCUUAAUUAGAAAACGCAGAUAUGGGGUAGCAAUCUCUGGCUGCAAGAGGUAUAAACCCAGCCAAAAGCUGCAGACAUUUGAAACUGUCACUUCACCUGGAGGUGUUGUUUAAAUAAGGUAAUUCAGCACUUCGUGGCAUCACCUGCUGUGUUAAACUACACAAGUUUCCUGCUUUGCACAAAGCUCUAGUGUGCCCUGAGCUUCUUUUAGCUGGAAGAAACAAUCUUACCCCAAAAGAGCUGAGAGAAGCUGAGUUUCUGAUACAAAUGCAUUCUGUUGUUAUGGGAACUAAAAUGGUGAGCGAUGUGAAAAGGAUCCCUCGCUAACAAAGACCGGCUUGAUGAUAUUAUGGCAGCAGCUAUGCAAAAAGCAAAUAUAUCUGCAAGAAACAAACAGAGCUUCUCCAAAGAAGACGCAGGUUCCUG
Molecule: long non-coding RNA, 3557 nt
Organism: Gallus gallus (chicken)
Lineage: Eukaryota; Metazoa; Chordata; Aves; Galliformes; Phasianidae
Source: Ensembl